RNAcentral lists this ribosomal RNA (468 nucleotides) under uncultured bacterium. RNAcentral describes it as "partial 16S ribosomal RNA". It matches the Rfam family "Bacterial small subunit ribosomal RNA", at positions 28 to 507 of the family's 1533-position model. The record is from RNAcentral.
GACGAACGCUGGCGGCGUGCUUAACACAUGCAAGUCGAACGGAAAGGCCCUGCUUUUGUGGGGUGCUCGAGUGGCGAACGGGUGAGUAACACGUGAGUAACCUGCCCUUGACUUUGGGAUAACUUCAGGAAACUGGGGCUAAUACCGGAUAGGAGCUCCUGCUGCAUGGUGGGGGUUGGAAAGUUUCGGCGGUUGGGGAUGGACUCGCGGCUUAUCAGCUUGUUGGUGGGGUAGUGGCUUACCAAGGCUUUGACGGGUAGCCGGCCUGAGAGGGUGACCGGCUACAUUGGGACUGAGAUACGGCCCAGACUCCUACGGGAGGCAGCAGUGGGGAAUAUUGCACAAUGGGCGGAAGCCUGAUGCAGCAACGCCGCGUGCGGGAUGACGGCCUUCGGGUUGUAAACCGCUUUCGCCUGUGACGAAGCGUGAGUGACGGUAAUGGGUAAAGAAGCACCAGCUAACUACGUG